Cordylochernes scorpioides is the source of this 74-nucleotide non-coding RNA. The record is from the annotation of a GenBank genome assembly. NCBI's taxonomy places the organism in Eukaryota, Metazoa, Arthropoda, Arachnida, Pseudoscorpiones, Chernetidae.
AUCGAAAUAACUAGUGUAUGACGUUUCAGUAACAGCUCUGUUACUGAAAUGUCACACACUCUUUAUUUGGAUUC